ACAGCAGCAGCCGCGGUAAAACCGGGGAUGCAAGCGUUAUUCGGAUUGAUUGGGUGUAAAGGGUGUGCAGACGGCUUAUUAAGUCACUUGUUAAAUUCUUCGGCCUAACUGAAGGUCUGCAAGUGAUACUGAUGAGCUAGAGGGUGGAAGAGAGAAGUGGAAUUCUCGGAGUAGCGGUAAAAUGCGUAGAUCUCGAGAGGAACACCAAUGGCGAAGGCAGCUUCUUGGUCCAUUCCUGACGUUCAUACACGAAAGCGUGGGGAGCAAACAGGAUUAGAUACCCCGGUAGUCCCUGUCUCUUAUAC
RNAcentral lists this ribosomal RNA (305 nucleotides) under uncultured bacterium. RNAcentral's name for it is "partial 16S ribosomal RNA". It matches the Rfam family "Bacterial small subunit ribosomal RNA", at positions 505 to 807 of the family's 1533-position model. The record is from RNAcentral.